AAUAGCAAAUGCAUCAUUGAGUGCAGCGUUGAUGAUUUCAGUGUAUUGAUGUUGUUAGCUUAUAAUUCUCUUACAUUUAGUCGUCAAUGCUGCACUUGAUAAUGUGUUUGAUUACUGAAAAGGCUGAAGUGGAGCUUACAAUCAAAUGGGAAGAAAAGCCUUUUUGAUAUGAUAUUCUGGUGGAAUCUGACCUUGAAAAAGGAAAUGGGUUCGAAAAGACUAAAAUCUUUUACAUCAAGAAUGACAACAAGGCACGUGAAAUUGAUUUCAAUGUUAUUUUGAUUAAGAUAAACAUUUUUGAUUGAAAUUAAUUUCGAAAAGAUUCCAAAAUCUUUUACAUCAAGAAUAACAAGAAGAAAUAUGCAACAAAGAAAUGGGUCACAAGCUUCAAAGGGGACAGCAAGGACCUGCAAGGUUUCAACGUUGUUACAGAUUGAACAACUUGAAUAAUGGAGUUUAUUGAGGAAAUGAACACAAAAAGCAUACAAGUGAUGCUGUAAGUUACCUCAAGUUUUUGUUUAAGCCAUCAGUAAUUUACAAGAUUGCAACAGUUUUUGAUGUGUCUAUUGACAGGGACUCAUCUAUAUAAGGAUUGAGGAAUAUAUCACUGUGAACAGUGGAGUUUUUCUGCAAUAUCACAGAAGUUUUAUGUUGGGUUUUCACUGAAUUAGAAUUAUUUCACCAGAAAUUUAGGAGUAGGGAUGUUAUCAACCUAACAAUGGGUUGAGAAUAUUGUGUAAAGAUCAAGUUUAGGAGUAGGGAUGUUAUCAGUUGGUUUCAUUUCAAUAUCAAGAGGUUUUCCAAUUUCUUAACCAUCUUGAUUAAUGUAUAUCACCGUUUUUCUGUAUAAUUUUCUUUUUAUU
This is a long non-coding RNA of Cryptomeria japonica (Japanese cedar), 863 nucleotides long. RefSeq lists it as uncharacterized. The transcript is spliced from 3 exons. Lineage: Eukaryota; Viridiplantae; Streptophyta; Pinopsida; Cupressales; Cupressaceae. The record is from RefSeq and is a predicted model, not a curated record.